This 222-nucleotide ribosomal RNA is filed under the name uncultured bacterium. Its description in RNAcentral is "partial 16S ribosomal RNA". It matches the Rfam family "Bacterial small subunit ribosomal RNA", at positions 112 to 334 of the family's 1533-position model. The record is from RNAcentral.
CGGACGUGAGGAACCUGCCUCAAAGAGGGGGACAACAGUUGGAAACGACUGCUAAUACCGCAUGACGCAUAGAGGUCGCAUGAUCUUUAUGCCAAAGAUUUAUCGCUUCAAGAUGGCCUCGCGUCUGAUUAGCUAGUUGGCGGGGUAACGGCCCACCAAGGCGACGAUCAGUAGCCGGACUGAGAGGUUGAACGGCCACAUUGGGACUGAGAUACGGCCCAG